This 303-nucleotide ribosomal RNA is filed under the name uncultured bacterium. RNAcentral describes it as "partial 16S ribosomal RNA". It matches the Rfam family "Bacterial small subunit ribosomal RNA", at positions 507 to 807 of the family's 1533-position model. The record is from RNAcentral.
AGCAGUAGCCACGGUAAUACGUAGGUGGCAAGCGUUGUCCGGAAUUAUUGGGCGUAAAGGGCUCGCAGGCGGUUUCUUAAGUCUGAUGUGAAAGCCCCCGGCUCAACCGGGGAGGGUCAUUGGAAACUGGGAAACUUGAGUGCAGAAGAGGAGAGUGGAAUUCCACGUGUAGCGGUGAAAUGCGUAGAGAUGUGGAGGAACACCAGUGGCGAGGGCGACUCUCUGGUCUGUAACUGACGCUGAGGAGCGAAAGCGUGGGGAGCGAACAGGAUUAGAUACCCCGGUAGUCCCUGUCUCUUAUAC